This 797-nucleotide long non-coding RNA is filed under the name Fukomys damarensis (Damara mole-rat). RNAcentral's name for it is "lncRNA (ENSFDAG00000027960.1)". The record is from RNAcentral. Lineage: Eukaryota; Metazoa; Chordata; Mammalia; Rodentia; Bathyergidae.
GAGCUGGUCAGCAUCUCAUUACAUGGGCCUCGGGGCUGGUGAACCUUUGUCAACAAACAGAAGGAAAAGGUCGAAUAAAGAAGUGACAGCCACCUCCAGAUCAAGUAGAAUAUGUUUCCUAGGUGAUUUGCCCUAAGAAGCCAACAUGUAAAAGCAAUCUGUAAACUGGAAUCAAGGGCAAAGAUAAGCUUGCUAAGAACCCCAACGCAUGUUUUGUGUUUUGUUCUGGAGGACUCUGCAUAGUACGUCAGUCCCAAGGGAUUCUGCAGAUUCUGCCCCGCAUGAUCCGGCCCCCACCCCGAUCCUUUACUGGUUCACCUGGGAAAGAGGAGUGCCUGCUUUGUUGUCCUUACUUCAUGCUUUAAGAUAGAGAGGUCUGUUUAUUUCUAAGUAUUUUCAAACACUAACAUAGGAGUUUUAAAGGAGGGACUGCCCGGCAAUGUAACCUUAAGCUGGAGGAAAGUGUAGAUUGAACAAUGAAAGCAGAGACUGACCCUUUCAACUCAAUUCCAACACGCUCGCUUCAUUCCCCAAGGAUGAGAAUAUCAAGUACUGAGUUCGUUUAGGGGAAAAUGAAUGUUUUAUCUCAUAAUUUAUAAUUAUGACAUAAAUGGUAAAUGUUUGAGGAGGUAGAUAUGCUUAAUCCGAUUUAAACAUCACACAAAGGGUGGGGGUGUAACUCAGUGGUAGAGUGCUUGUGUGGCAUUGUACAGGGCCCUGUGUUUGAUUCCCCAGCAUCAUAAAAAACAAAAUAUGAAAAAAACUCAACUUGUAAACAUUACAAAAUGUAUAGAGGC